RNAcentral lists this long non-coding RNA (1081 nucleotides) under Equus caballus (horse). RNAcentral describes it as "lncRNA (ENSECAG00000047586.1)". The record is from RNAcentral. Lineage: Eukaryota; Metazoa; Chordata; Mammalia; Perissodactyla; Equidae.
CUGCGGUGUCAACGUGACUCUGCUCUCCCUGCGCCCUAAUUGGGCGUCGCCUGUGCAGGCCCUCCGCUGUGUGUGGAGGGCUGUGGCCUUGUAUCUCUAGGGAGGGAACAUCUUUUGUCUCUCGGCAAGAAGCUUUCCUCCGGGAAAGAUAAAGUAAUCGAUAGGGUCUUUUAAAUAGCUCCGCGUUUCCUGUCGGGAGAGGAGUAUCAGCGCGCACACCAAAUCUGCUCUGGAUGGAUCCUGUGUACGGUGUGCCAUGUUGAAACUAGAGAAUGAGACCUGGAUACCACCGUGCCAUCUUUGAACCAAUGGCAGAGUCUCGCCCAUCUCUUGGCCUCUUGAAUUACUCUGGUGACCUAGUUAUUCAGUCCUGGGUGGACCUGCAGGUGGCCCUCAAGGAGGGUUUCCUCUGAGUGAACACUUUUCUAGAAGGAGACCAGGGUGCUUCUUUCUUUUCUUCUAGCAAGAUGUGUGACGUGAGAGAUGGGAAAGUUGGGGCAUUUAGAAUUGAAGUGGUGAGAACAGCCCAGGGUGGGAUCAGGAGUGCCUUGCCCUCCACCUAGUGUGACUGCCAUCUUCUAGAAGCUCCAGGUCCUUUUCUUAAUGGGAAGCUGCACUGCUGUUCCUUAGAUGUGACAAGAGGGGAAGUGGGGCCAGGUGGCACUGGGAGCAGUUCUUAGCCGAUUCCUGGAUUCCGAGCUCUGGAGGACGCUACUUGGGCAUAACACGGAAGUGCACAAAAGUGAACAGCCCUGUGAAUUUCCACAAACUGAACACAGCUGUGUAACUGGCACCCAGUUCAAGAAACAGAACAUGACCAGCACCUAAAAGCCCCCUUCGUUUUCCCCCAAGAUAAUCACUAUUCUGACUUCUAACAACAUAGAUUAGUUUGGGCUGUUUUUGAACUUCCCGUAUAUCUGAUCGGACAGUAUGUAGACUCUGUGUCUGGCAAUUUUUACUCCGUAUAUGUUUGUGAGAUGCGUCCACAUUGUUUGUAGUUGCUGUGAGUUGAAACUUGCUCCUUUUCGUUUGUGAAUGCCAUGUCGUUGUAUGAAUACACUACUGUUGACCCAUUCUCUCC